Molecule: ribosomal RNA, 394 nt
Filed under: uncultured bacterium
Lineage: Bacteria
Description: partial 16S ribosomal RNA
Rfam family: Bacterial small subunit ribosomal RNA
Source: RNAcentral
AUACGUAGGGAGCGAGCGUUGUCCGGAAUUACUGGGCGUAAAGGGCGCGUAGGCCGUGUUAUAAGUUAGUUGUAAAACGUGUGGGCUUAACCCGCAUUCGCAACUAAAACUGUAACGCUAGAGGCAUAGAGAGGCAGACGGAAUUCCUGGUGUAGCGGUGAAAUGCGUAGAUAUCAGGAAGAACACCGGUGGCGAAGGCGGUCUGCUGGCUAUGAACUGACGCUGAAGCGCGAAAGCCAGGGGAGCAAACGGGAGUAGAUACCCCGGUAGUCCUGGCAGUAAACGAUGUAUGCUGGGUGUGGGCGUAGCGAUACGUCCGUGCCGAAGGUAACGCGAUAAGCAUACCGCCUGGGGAGUACGGUCGCAAGAUUGAAACUCAAAUGAAUUGACGGGG